AGGGGGAUAACAGUUAGAAAUGACUGCUAAUACCGCAUAAGCGCACAGUACCGCAUGGUACGGUGUGAAAAACUCCGGUGGUAUAAGAUGGACCCGCGUCUGAUUAGCCAGUUGGCGGGGUAACGGCCCACCAAAGCGACGAUCAGUAGCCGACCUGAGAGGGUGACCGGCCACAUUGGGACUGAGACACGGCCCAAACUCCUACGGGAGGCAGCAGUGGGGAAUAUUGCACAAUGGGGGAAACCCUGAUGCAGCAACGCCGCGUGAGUGAAGAAGUAUUUCGGUAUGUAAAGCUCUAUCAGCAGGGAAGAAGAUGACGGUACCUGACCAAGAAGCCCCGGCUAACUACGUGCCAGCAGCCGCGGUAAUACGUAGGGGGCAAGCGUUAUCCGGAUUUACUGGGUGUAAAGGGAGCGCAGACGGCAGUGCAAGUCUGAAGUGAAAGGCGGGGGCCCAACCCCCGGACUGCUUUGGAAACUGUAUGGCUGGAGUGCAGGAGAGGUAAGUGGAAUUCCUAGUGUAGCGGUGAAAUGCGUAGAUAUUAGGAGGAACACCAGUGGCGAAGGCGGCUUACUGGACUGUAACUGACGUUGAGGCUCGAAAGCGUGGGGAGCAAACAGGAUUAGAUACCCUGGUAGUCCACGCCGUAAACGAUGAUCACCAGGUGU
RNAcentral lists this ribosomal RNA (668 nucleotides) under uncultured bacterium. RNAcentral's name for it is "bacterial SSU rRNA". It matches the Rfam family "Bacterial small subunit ribosomal RNA", at positions 137 to 823 of the family's 1533-position model. The record is from RNAcentral.